UACACCAAGAGCUGAGCUGACCUGUGAAC
RNAcentral lists this non-coding RNA (29 nucleotides) under Mus musculus (house mouse). Lineage: Eukaryota; Metazoa; Chordata; Mammalia; Rodentia; Muridae. The record is from RNAcentral.